ACUCAGUGAGUCUUGGAAGGACUUUGGCCUGCCAGGCAAAAUCUCAUCAAGGGCUAUCAGGAAGACAGUGGUGACAGCAGCACGAGAUGAAUUAUCAAAUGAGGAGCGGCAAAGAAUCGCUAGUUUCAUGUGCCAUUCUAUAGAAACUGCUGAUCACUACUAUGCUGCGAGGUAUAAGAC
This is a long non-coding RNA of Strongylocentrotus purpuratus (purple sea urchin), 180 nucleotides long. RefSeq lists it as uncharacterized. NCBI's taxonomy places the organism in Eukaryota, Metazoa, Echinodermata, Echinoidea, Camarodonta, Strongylocentrotidae. The record is from RefSeq and is a predicted model, not a curated record. The transcript is spliced from 2 exons.